GGAACGAACGCUGGCGGCAUGCCUAAUACAUGCAAGUCGAACGAAGGCUUCGGCCUUAGUGGCACACGGGUGCGUAACGCGUGGGAAUCUGCCCCUUGGUUCGGAAUAACAGUUGGAAACGACUGCUAAUACCGGAUGAUGACGAAAGUCCAAAGAUCUAUCGCCAAGGGAUGAGCCCGCGUAGGAUUAGCUAGUUGGUGAGGUAAAGGCUCACCAAGGCAACGAUCCUUAGCUGGUCUGAGAGGAUGAUCAGCCACACUGGGACUGAGACACGGCCCAGACUCCUACGGGAGGCAGCAGUAGGGAAUAUGGACAAUGGGCGAAAGCCUGAUCCAAGCAAUGCCGCGUGAGUGAUGAAGGCCUUAGGUUGUAAAGCUCUUUUACCGAGAUGAUAAUAGACAGUAUCGGAAGAAUAAGCCCCGGCUAACUCCGUGCCAGCAGCCGAC
RNAcentral lists this ribosomal RNA (446 nucleotides) under uncultured soil bacterium. Its description in RNAcentral is "bacterial SSU rRNA". It matches the Rfam family "Bacterial small subunit ribosomal RNA", at positions 27 to 518 of the family's 1533-position model. The record is from RNAcentral.